This 253-nucleotide ribosomal RNA is filed under the name uncultured bacterium. Its description in RNAcentral is "partial 16S ribosomal RNA". It matches the Rfam family "Bacterial small subunit ribosomal RNA", at positions 524 to 776 of the family's 1533-position model. The record is from RNAcentral.
UACGUAGGGUGCGAGCGUUAAUCGGAAUUACUGGGCGUAAAGCGUGCGCAGGCGGUUUUGUAAGCCAGAUGUGAAAUCCCCGGGCUCAACCUGGGAAUUGCGAUGGAGACUGCAAGGCUGGAGUCUGGCAGAGGGGGGUAGAAUUCCACGUGUAGCAGUGAAAUGCGUAGAGAUGUGGAGGAACACCGAUGGCGAAGGCAGCCCCCUGGGUCAAGACUGACGCUCAUGCACGAAAGCGUGGGGAGCAAACAGG